RNAcentral lists this ribosomal RNA (466 nucleotides) under uncultured bacterium. RNAcentral describes it as "bacterial SSU rRNA". It matches the Rfam family "Bacterial small subunit ribosomal RNA", at positions 338 to 795 of the family's 1533-position model. The record is from RNAcentral.
CCUACGGGAUGCAGCAGUGGGGAAUAUUGGACAAUGGGCGGAAGCCUGAUCCAGCCAUGCCGCGUGUGUAAAGAAGGCCUUAUGGUUGUAAAGCACUUUAAGCGAGGAGGAGGCUACUUUAGUUAAUACCUAGAGAUAGUGGACGUUACUCGCAGAAUAAGCACCGGCUAACUCUGUGCCAGCAGCCGCGGUAAUACAGAGGGUGCAAGCGUUAAUCGGAUUUACUGGGCGUAGAGCGCGCGUAGGCGGCUAAUUAAGUCAAAUGUGAAAUCCCCGAGCUUAACUUGGGAAUUGCAUUCGAUACUGGUUAGCUAGAGUGUGGGAGAGGAUGGUAGAAUUCCAGGUGUAGCGGUGAAAUGCGUAGAGAUCUGGAGGAAUACCGAUGGCGAAGGCAGCCAUCUGGCCUAACACUGACGCUGAGGUGCGAAAGCAUGGGGAGCAAACAGGAUUAGAUACCCCUGUAGUC